RNAcentral lists this ribosomal RNA (460 nucleotides) under uncultured bacterium. Its description in RNAcentral is "partial 16S ribosomal RNA". It matches the Rfam family "Bacterial small subunit ribosomal RNA", at positions 338 to 795 of the family's 1533-position model. The record is from RNAcentral.
CCUACGGGCGGCAGCAGUGAGGAAUAUUGGUCAAUGGGCGCGAGCCUGAACCAGCCAAGCAGCGUGAAGGAUGACUGCCCUACGGGUUGUAAACUUCUUUUAUAAAGGAAUAAAGUGAGGCACGUGUGCCUUUCUGUAUGUACUUUAUGAAUAAGGAUCGGCUAACUCCGUGCCAGCAGCCGCGGUAAUACGGAGGAUCCGAGCGUUAUCCGGAUUUAUUGGGUUUAAAGGGAGCGUAGAUGGGUGGUUAAGUCAGUUGUGAAAGCUUGCGGCUCAACCGGGAAAUUGCAAUUGAUACUGGCAGGCUUGAGUACAGUUGAGGUAGGCGGAAUGUGUGGUGUAGCGGUGAAAUGCUUAGAUAUCACGAAGAACUCCGAUUGCGAAGGCAGCUUACUAAUCUGCCACUGACAUUGAUGCUCGAAAGUGUGGGUAUCAAACAGGAUUAGAUACCCUUGUAGUC